RNAcentral lists this ribosomal RNA (502 nucleotides) under Enterococcus faecalis. RNAcentral describes it as "partial 23S ribosomal RNA". It matches the Rfam family "Bacterial large subunit ribosomal RNA", at positions 1022 to 1526 of the family's 2925-position model. Lineage: Bacteria; Bacillati; Bacillota; Bacilli; Lactobacillales; Enterococcaceae. The record is from RNAcentral.
ACAGCCCAGACCGCCAGCUAAGGUCCCAAAGUAUACGUUAAGUGGAAAAGGAUGUGGAGUUGCUUAGACAACCAGGAUGUUGGCUUAGAAGCAGCCAUCAUUUAAAGAAAGCGUAAUAGCUCACUGGUCGAGUGACUCUGCGCCGAAAAUGUACCGGGGCUAAACGUAUCACCGAAGCUGCGGACUGUUCUUCGAACAGUGGUAGGAGAGCGUUCUAAGGGCUGUGAAGCCAGACCGGAAGGACUGGUGGAGCGCUUAGAAGUGAGAAUGCCGGUAUGAGUAGCGAAAGAGGGGUGAGAAUCCCCUCCACCGAAUGCCUAAGGUUUCCUGAGGAAGGCUCGUCCGCUCAGGGUUAGUCGGGACCUAAGCCGAGGCCGAAAGGCGUAGGCGAUGGACAACAGGUUGAUAUUCCUGUACCACCUCCUCACCAUUUGAGCAAUGGGGGGACGCAGGAGGAUAGGGUAAGCGCGGUAUUGGAUAUCCGCGUCCAAGCAGUUAGGCU